Molecule: ribosomal RNA, 69 nt
Filed under: Dolichomastix tenuilepis
Lineage: Eukaryota; Viridiplantae; Chlorophyta; Mamiellophyceae; Dolichomastigales; Dolichomastigaceae
Description: partial Bacterial small subunit ribosomal RNA
Source: RNAcentral
AUGAAGAGUUUGAUCCUGGCUCAGGAUGAACGCUAGCGGCAGGCUUAACACAUGCAAGUUGAGGGGUAA